This 1384-nucleotide ribosomal RNA is filed under the name Kluyvera ascorbata. RNAcentral's name for it is "bacterial SSU rRNA". It matches the Rfam family "Bacterial small subunit ribosomal RNA". The record is from RNAcentral. Lineage: Bacteria; Pseudomonadati; Pseudomonadota; Gammaproteobacteria; Enterobacterales; Enterobacteriaceae.
GGACGGGUGAGUAAUGUCUGGGAAACUGCCCGAUGGAGGGGGAUAACUACUGGAAACGGUAGCUAAUACCGCAUAACGUCGCAAGACCAAAGUGGGGGACCUUCGGGCCUCACACCAUCGGAUGUGCCCAGAUGGGAUUAGCUAGUUGGUGAGGUAAUGGCUCACCAAGGCGACGAUCCCUAGCUGGUCUGAGAGGAUGACCAGCCACACUGGAACUGAGACACGGUCCAGACUCCUACGGGAGGCAGCAGUGGGGAAUAUUGCACAAUGGGCGCAAGCCUGAUGCAGCCAUGCCGCGUGUAUGAAGAAGGCCUUCGGGUUGUAAAGUACUUUCAGCGAGGAGGAAGGCAUUAAGGUUAAUAACCUUAGUGAUUGACGUUACUCGCAGAAGAAGCACCGGCUAACUCCGUGCCAGCAGCCGCGGUAAUACGGAGGGUGCAAGCGUUAAUCGGAAUUACUGGGCGUAAAGCGCACGCAGGCGGUCUGUCAAGUCGGAUGUGAAAUCCCCGGGCUCAACCUGGGAACUGCAUUCGAAACUGGCAGGCUAGAGUCUUGUAGAGGGGGGUAGAAUUCCAGGUGUAGCGGUGAAAUGCGUAGAGAUCUGGAGGAAUACCGGUGGCGAAGGCGGCCCCCUGGACAAAGACUGACGCUCAGGUGCGAAAGCGUGGGGAGCAAACAGGAUUAGAUACCCUGGUAGUCCACGCCGUAAACGAUGUCUAUUUGGAGGUUGUUCCCUUGAGGAGUGGCUUCCGGAGCUAACGCGUUAAAUAGACCGCCUGGGGAGUACGGCCGCAAGGUUAAAACUCAAAUGAAUUGACGGGGGCCCGCACAAGCGGUGGAGCAUGUGGUUUAAUUCGAUGCAACGCGAAGAACCUUACCUACUCUUGACAUCCACGGAAUUUAGCAGAGAUGCUUUAGUGCCUUCGGGAACYGUGAGACAGGUGCUGCAUGGCUGUCGUCAGCUCGUGUUGUGAAAUGUUGGGUUAAGUCCCGCAACGAGCGCAACCCUUAUCCUUUGUUGCCAGCGGUUCGGCCGGGAACUCAAAGGAGACUGCCAGUGAUAAACUGGAGGAAGGUGGGGAUGACGUCAAGUCAUCAUGGCCCUUACGAGUAGGGCUACACACGUGCUACAAUGGCAUAUACAAAGAGAAGCGACCUCGCGAGAGCAAGCGGACCUCAUAAAGUAUGUCGUAGUCCGGAUUGGAGUCUGCAACUCGACUCCAUGAAGUCGGAAUCGCUAGUAAUCGUAGAUCAGAAUGCUACGGUGAAUACGUUCCCGGGCCUUGUACACACCGCCCGUCACACCAUGGGAGUGGGUUGCAAAAGAAGUAGGUAGCUUAACCCUUCGGGAGGGCGCUUACCACUUUGUGAUUCAUGACUGGGG